Molecule: ribosomal RNA, 433 nt
Filed under: uncultured bacterium
Lineage: Bacteria
Description: partial 16S ribosomal RNA
Rfam family: Bacterial small subunit ribosomal RNA
Source: RNAcentral
AACGAACGCUGGCGGCAUGCCUAACACAUGCAAGUCGAACGAGACCUUCGGGUCUAGUGGCUCACGGGUGCGUAACGCGUGGGAACCUGCCCUUAUGUUCGGAAUAACUCUCCGAAAGGGGUGCUAAUACCGGAUAAUGUCUUCGGACCAAAGAUUUAUCGCCUUUGGAUGGGCCGGCGUUGGAUUAGCUAGUUGGUAGGGUAAAAGCCUACCAAGGCGACGAUCCAUAGCUGGUCUGAGAGGAUGAUCAGCCACACUGGGACUGAGACACGGCCCAGACUCCUACGGGAGGCAGCAGUGGGGAAUAUUGGACAAUGGGCGAAAGCCUGAUCCAGCAAUGCCGCGUGAGUGAUGAAGGCCUUAGGGUUGUAAAGCUCUUUUACCCGGGAUGAUAAUGACAGUACCGGGAGAAUAAGCACCGGCUAACUCCGUG